AUAGAGAGAUGAACCUCUCUGUUCCCCAACCCCUCUAUCAGAUCAAGAUUUUAAAAAACUUGGCGCUGCCCCCGCCAAGUUUUU
This 84-nucleotide small RNA is filed under the name Bacillus sonorensis. Its description in RNAcentral is "FsrA". It matches the Rfam family "FsrA". Lineage: Bacteria; Bacillati; Bacillota; Bacilli; Caryophanales; Bacillaceae. RNAcentral also lists the same sequence under 1 other name. The record is from RNAcentral.